Molecule: long non-coding RNA, 1762 nt
Filed under: Homo sapiens (human)
Lineage: Eukaryota; Metazoa; Chordata; Mammalia; Primates; Hominidae
Description: HSALNT0014463
Source: RNAcentral
CCUGCCACACAGGGAAGCAUCCAGUACAGCACUGGACAGAUAUUCCUGAAGGUCUGUGUGACCUGGGGACCCACAAAGAACACUGACAUUCAAGUCAGGGGUGUUGAUUGCCCCUCCUGACUCUGGGUAUUCCAAGAUGCCACUUACCUGCUCUAUGAGACAAUUUUCUCUAUGUUAGUUGAGGAUGAUAAGUUCUGCCCCUCCUUCACAAGAUGUUAUAGGUCUUUUUUAAAGCUCACUAAUUUGGAAAUAAAUGGAAAAGAAAGAAGCCAUCAUCAAAUUUUGUAAGACCAUAUUGUAAAAUGUAUACUGAAGCAGUGACAGUCAUCACUUUCAAAUACUGCAUAGAUUGUUAACUAAGAUACUGAUAAAAAGUGAGCCAAUAACUAAAGUAAGGGAAAUAAAUUUGGAGGGGCAGCAGGUAGUCUUGAAUUCCUAAGAAUUAUGGUACAAAAAAAAGAAUGUCUUUAAUCACGCAAGAAUUGGUUGCUGAAAGAGGUGCUAAAGGUACUCGGCUUAGUAGAGCUCACAUAUGGAGAAGCGUCAACCCCUGAGAUAAUCUCUGACUCAUGGCAGAAGGGGCUCCAUGGAUACGGAAAGAGCUGCAUGCAGGAACUCUUCAGUCCAGGCCAUGUGGAAGGCCUAGGACAAGAUUGGUACAAACCACUGCUCCUCUCCAGUUCCCGAGAAGGGUCAUUAGGCGUGCUCUAAGUAAGAAUGAGAACACCACCCCAACUGCAUGUCCCAUUCCAUUCCCCCAGCCUCCUCUUCUCUCCUUUCCCUGACCAUGAUUUACCCUCUAUGCAUACUGUGUGCAAAUGAUUGCCCAACCCAGCUUAGCAAAGUUUAGAUGAGAAAGGUUUGCCUGGUUGGAAGAAAAACUCUUCUGAGUGUAAAUACAAUCUGUAAAACUACUAAGUGUGUACCUAGAAGUGAUAGCGAAAUAGGCAAGGAGACUUUCCCCUUUUGCAAUUAUUGUAUUAUAACUAAAUAUGUACUUGGGGAAGGGAGGAGAAAAAGGAAAAAAAAUUCUCGGUUCAGCAUUUGGGUAAGAGGAAAGAAAAACUUUUAUGAAAGACAGUUCACUCUCCACUGCCCUAGACAUUGCAGCUCCCAGAGCCAGGAAAAAGUGGUAUUCAGCUCUGGGAACCGAAUACCACAUAAAAAAGUAGCCACCAAGUUGCAGUGGGACAUCCCAUAGUCUCCAACGCCACUGCUUUCUGGAAGUUCUACAGAGCAGACAAAGAAGAUUCUAAAAGAAUUCAUAAGGUUGUCUGAAGGGAAAAGUAGAUGACCCCAUGGCCUUUUUCUGCAAUUUUUUCAUCUAUAAAACAAAGUGGUAAAGACUCAGUUUGUUAUGAAGCACAUUCAUAACAAACUUCCUGGGGAAAUCUCUGGCAAAAGAGAGACACGUUAUUGGGAUGGUGGUCCUGUAUUCUCCAACCUUCCACAUCCUUGUGCCAGAGCUAAUAGUCGUGUGUUAGACUGUUACAAAGCAAAUAAAAUUAACUUGACUUUUCACCAUCUUUGUUUUUUCUUUUUACGUGUCAGCUGAAGUAGACUGUGAAGAGACUGCCUCAGUUUCUAGUUAUUUUUCCUUUGGAGUUGAGGGCCUAGAAAACAAGGCGAGUGGGGUAAAGGUGGUGAGGUUGGUAUGUUAGUAAAUGUUCAACCACCAGCUCUCUCCAGGGUAAAGAAGGCAGACUUUGUAGUGUUUGCCAAUUUCCUUGGUUUAAAUUAUCCCACUGCCACCAAUUUCAAG